AGUGAACGCUGGCGGUAGGCCUAACACAUGCAAGUCGAACGGCAGCACAGUAAGAGCUUGCUCUUACGGGUGGCGAGUGGCGGACGGGUGAGGAAUACAUCGGAAUCUACUUUUUCGUGGGGGAUAACGUAGGUAAACUUACGCUAAUACCGCAUACGACCUACGGGUGAAAGCAGGGGAUCUUCGGACCUUGCGCGAUUGAAUGAGCCGAUGUCGGAUUAGCUAGUUGGCGGGGUAAAGGCCCACCAAGGCGACGAUCCGUAGCUGGUCUGAGAGGAUGAUCAGCCACACUGGAACUGAGACACGGUCCAGAAUCCUACGGGAGGCAGCAGUGGGGAAUAUUGGACAAUGGGCGCAAGCCUGAUCCAGCCAUACCGAGUGGGUGAAGAAGGCCUUCGGGUUGUAAAGCCCUUUUGUUGGGAAAGAAAAGCAGCAGGUUAAUACCCCGCUGUUCUGACGGUACCCAAAGAAUAAGCACCGGCUAACUUCGUG
RNAcentral lists this ribosomal RNA (492 nucleotides) under uncultured bacterium. RNAcentral describes it as "partial 16S ribosomal RNA". It matches the Rfam family "Bacterial small subunit ribosomal RNA", at positions 29 to 507 of the family's 1533-position model. The record is from RNAcentral.